This 497-nucleotide ribosomal RNA is filed under the name uncultured bacterium. Its description in RNAcentral is "partial 16S ribosomal RNA". It matches the Rfam family "Bacterial small subunit ribosomal RNA", at positions 28 to 507 of the family's 1533-position model. The record is from RNAcentral.
GAUGAACGCUGGCGGCGUGCCUAAUACAUGCAAGUCGAGCGAACAGACGAGGAGCUUGCUCCUCUGACGUUAGCGGCGGACGGGUGAGUAACACGUGGAUAACCUACCUAUAAGACGGGGAUAACUUCGGGAAACCGGAGCUAAUACCGGAAAAUAUAUUAAACCGCAUGGUUCAUUAGUGAAAGACGGUUUUGCUGUCACUUAUAGAUGGACCCGCGCCGCAUUAGCUAGUUGGUAAGGUAACGGCUUACCAAGGCAACGAUGCGUAGCCGACCUGAGAGGGUGAUCGGCCACACUGGAACUGAGACACGGUCCAGACUCCUACGGGAGGCAGCAGUAGGGAAUCUUCCGCAAUGGGCGAAAGCCUGACGGAGCAACGCCGCGUGAGUGAUGAAGGUCUUCGGAUCGUAAAACUCUGUUAUUAGGGAAGAACAAAUGUGUAAGUAACUAUGCACGUCUUGACGGUACCUAAUCAGAAAGCCACGGCUAACUACGUG